AUGAUGGCGUUGGGCGUUGGUGUCCGGCCGGACGGCUUGUCUGGUCGGGUAACAGGGAAUCCGGUGCAAAUCCGGAACGGUCCCCGCCGCUGUGACCGGACGUUACCAGACCCGCCCAGUCUCCUUGGCCAUUGUCGCGGCCUAAAGCCCUUGGCGGUCUUGAUCGCCGAGGGCGAUUGCGACGAGAAGGCCGGGUUGGGUCGAGUCCGGAAGUCAGAAGACCUACCAACGCAGGACUGUCGGUC
RNAcentral lists this non-coding RNA (245 nucleotides) under Thermogutta terrifontis. The record is from RNAcentral. Lineage: Bacteria; Pseudomonadati; Planctomycetota; Planctomycetia; Pirellulales; Thermoguttaceae.